UCUCGUUCGAUCACCUAAGUUAAGCAUCGUAGAGCCAGGUCAGUUCUUAGAUAGGGGACCGCUUGGGAACACCUAGUACUGUAAG
Acanthosepion pharaonis is the source of this 85-nucleotide non-coding RNA. NCBI's taxonomy places the organism in Eukaryota, Metazoa, Mollusca, Cephalopoda, Sepiida, Sepiidae. The record is from the annotation of a GenBank genome assembly.